GAGGACUCGGUUCGCAGCAGUCUAGAUUAAUGCUCUUCUGUAAGAAACGCUUGACAGAGGUCAAACACGAAGCCGAGGUGACAGCUGUUCACCGAUCUACUUUAUAAAUAAUGUAUGGCAGUCCUAUAUUUUCAAUCCCUUUCAACUGACGGAGACUUCACUUCUUAUCCAGAAGAUUGAUUCAGAUUAAAAGGAGGAGGCCGAAUACUCAUCACUGAGGAAGGCCCCGCCUCCUGCCAUUCCUAGUUCAGAAGCUGAAGCUCAGUGAUUUUCCGGCCUUCACUUAAGCCUCUUGGGAAAAAAACAGGGUGUCCAAAGUUGGCCCUUUCUCUCCUGGUCUUUCUUCCAACCUUGUUCUAAAUGGUAUAAUCAAACUGAUUACUGUAAACCUCCAUCCAGACAGAAGCAGUUCCUUAUAUUAUUUUACCUGUUAAACCAGGUGGAAUGGCCCUCCAGGACCAUGAUUGGACACCCCUGAAAUAAACCUCAUGAUCUAAUGUUAACUCUGACGAUAACACUACUGUAUUGAUUAACCCCCCCCCCCCCUUUCUGUUCUUGGGCUUGCAUCCUACACUUGGAUAUGUCAUUGUUCCAUCUGAUUCAAUUACUCUUUUGCUUUUAGUGCCUAAUGAUAAAACAUAAAAAAAGAGAUAAAAAAGGAAUUUCCUUGGAUAUUUAAAAAGUGGGGUGUGGAUUUGAUUUUACUUCAGCAAGUCAUACGUGAACUUCUUGUGAUAUAUCUGAGCAUGCACCCUUUCAGUUAAAAAAAAAAAACCUGUGCCAAAAGAAAUGUAUCACAUAUUUUUUUUCCAGCUUUGCAAAUCGAUGGGCACUGCACCAGCAUAAUCAGUUCACCGUAACUACAGUAACCAUGUAGUUCUGUACAGAGCUGGACAUCCCACUGAGUUCCUAACCAGCUUACUGUCUAA
Molecule: long non-coding RNA, 929 nt
Organism: Polyodon spathula (Mississippi paddlefish)
Lineage: Eukaryota; Metazoa; Chordata; Actinopteri; Acipenseriformes; Polyodontidae
Exons: 3
Source: RefSeq, a predicted model, not a curated record